GUCCAGACUCCUACGGGAGGCAGCAGUGGGGGAUAUUGCACAAUGGGGGGAACCCUGAUGCAGCGACGCCGCGUGGGUGAAGGAGCGUUUCGGCGCGUAAAGCCCUAUCGGCAGGGAAGAAGGAGGACGGUACCUGACUAAGAAGCCCCGACUAACUACGUGCCAGCAGCCGCGGGAAUACGUAGGGGGCAAGCGUUAUCCGGAUUUACUGGGUGUAAAGGGGGCGCAGACGGCAGCGCAAGCCAGGAGUGAAAGCCCGGGGCCCAACCCCGGGACUGCUCUGGAAACUGCGGCGCUGGAGUACGGGAGGGGCAGGCGGAAUUCCUGGUGUAGCGGUGAAAUGCGUAGAUAUCAGGAGGAACACCGGCGGCGAAGGCGGCCUGCUGGACCGUGACUGACGUUGAGGCUCGAGAGUGUGGGGAGCAAACAGGAUUAGAUACCCGAGUAUA
RNAcentral lists this ribosomal RNA (449 nucleotides) under uncultured bacterium. RNAcentral describes it as "partial 16S ribosomal RNA". It matches the Rfam family "Bacterial small subunit ribosomal RNA", at positions 329 to 794 of the family's 1533-position model. The record is from RNAcentral.